This 253-nucleotide ribosomal RNA is filed under the name uncultured bacterium. RNAcentral's name for it is "partial 16S ribosomal RNA". It matches the Rfam family "Bacterial small subunit ribosomal RNA", at positions 524 to 776 of the family's 1533-position model. The record is from RNAcentral.
UACGUAGGGCGCAAGCGUUGUCCGGAAUCAUUGGGCGUAAAGAGCUCGUAGGCGGCCUGUUGCGUCCGCUGUGAAAUCCCGGGGCUUAACCCCGGGCGUGCAGUGGAUACGGGCUGGCUGGAGGCAGGCAGGGGAGAACGGAAUUCCCGGUGUAGCGGUGAAAUGCGCAGAUAUCGGGAGGAACACCGGUGGCGAAGGCGGCGACCUGGGUGGAUACUGACGCUGAGGUGCGAAAGCGUGGGGAGCAAACAGG